AACGGUCUAUACCUGCGGUACCUGCGGAGGGAUCAUUAUUGAUUUUAAAAGGGGAUGUGCUGGCUCUCUCGCAUGUGCACUCUUCAUAAAACCAAUUUUAUCCACCUGUGCACUCACAAGUAGACCUGAGGUUCUCUCUAGUCUAUGUUAUUUCACAAACUAUCAUUUAUAUAAUUGAAUGGUUACUUCAUAUGUUAAAACAACUUUUAACAACGGAUCUCUAGAUCGGAAGAGCACACG
RNAcentral lists this unclassified non-coding RNA (240 nucleotides) under soil metagenome. Its description in RNAcentral is "partial contains 5.8S ribosomal RNA, internal transcribed spacer 2, and large subunit ribosomal RNA". The record is from RNAcentral.